ACAGAGAUGGCGAGCGUUACUCGGAUUUAUUGGGUGUAAAGGGCAGGUAGGUGUUUUGCCAAGUUGUAAGUGAAAUCCUAAGGCUCAACCUUAGAACUGCUUACAAAACUGGGGAAAUUGAGAUUGGUAGAGGAAAGCGGAAUUCCCGGUGUGAGGGUGAAAUCUGUAGAUAGCGGGAGGAACGCCAGUGGCGAAAGCGGCAACCUGGAUCAAUUUUGACACGAUGCUGAGAGAGCGCGGCGAUCAAAUAG
Molecule: ribosomal RNA, 251 nt
Filed under: uncultured prokaryote
Description: partial 16S rRNA
Rfam family: Bacterial small subunit ribosomal RNA
Source: RNAcentral